Molecule: transfer RNA, 68 nt
Filed under: Pteronura brasiliensis (giant otter)
Lineage: Eukaryota; Metazoa; Chordata; Mammalia; Carnivora; Mustelidae
Description: tRNA-Lys
Rfam family: tRNA
About the family: Transfer RNA (tRNA) molecules are approximately 80 nucleotides in length.
Source: RNAcentral
CAUUGAGAAGCUAAUAUAGCAUUAACCUUUUAAGUUAAAGAUUGGGAACGAAAACCUCCCCUCAAUGG